UGGCGGACGGGUGAGUAACACGUGGGUAACCUACCCUUAAGUGGGGGAUAACAUUUGGAAACAGAUGCUAAUACCGCAUAACCAUUCAGACCACAUGGUCUGAAUGUAAAAGACGGCCUUUGGCUGUCACUUUUGGACGGACCCGCGGCGUAUUAGUUAGUUGGUAAGGUAACGGCUUACCAAGACAAUGAUACGUAGCCGACCUGAGAGGGUAAUCGGCCACAUUGGGACUGAGACACGGCCCAAACUCCUACGGGAGGCAGCAGUAGGGAAUCUUCCACAAUGGACGAAAGUCUGAUGGAGCAACGCCGCGUGAGUGAAGAAGGUUUUAGGAUCGUAAAACUCUGUUGUUGGAGAAGAACAGGGACUAGAGUAACUGUUAGUCCUUUGACGGUAUCCAACCAGAAAGCCACGGCUAACUACGUGCCAGCAGCCGCGGUAAUACGUAGGUGGCAAGCGUUGUCCGGAUUUAU
RNAcentral lists this ribosomal RNA (473 nucleotides) under Loigolactobacillus coryniformis. RNAcentral's name for it is "bacterial SSU rRNA". It matches the Rfam family "Bacterial small subunit ribosomal RNA", at positions 96 to 554 of the family's 1533-position model. Lineage: Bacteria; Bacillati; Bacillota; Bacilli; Lactobacillales; Lactobacillaceae. The record is from RNAcentral.